This 75-nucleotide transfer RNA is filed under the name Salmonella enterica. Its description in RNAcentral is "tRNA-Asn". It matches the Rfam family "tRNA". Rfam says of the family: Transfer RNA (tRNA) molecules are approximately 80 nucleotides in length. Their secondary structure includes four short double-helical elements and three loops (D, anti-codon, and T loops). Lineage: Bacteria; Pseudomonadati; Pseudomonadota; Gammaproteobacteria; Enterobacterales; Enterobacteriaceae. RNAcentral also lists the same sequence under 2 other names. The record is from RNAcentral.
GGGUCAGUCGCAUAAAGGUUAUUACGGAAGGCUGUUAACCUUCUUAUCGUGGUUCGAGUCCACGCUGUCCCGCCA